UGGGGCGUCGCCAAGCGGUAAGGCAGCGGAUUUUGAUUCCGCCAUGCGGAGGUUCGAAUCCUCCCGCCCCAGCCA
Molecule: transfer RNA, 75 nt
Filed under: Bradyrhizobium sp.
Lineage: Bacteria; Pseudomonadati; Pseudomonadota; Alphaproteobacteria; Hyphomicrobiales; Nitrobacteraceae
Also listed under: 28 other names
Description: tRNA-Gln
Rfam family: tRNA
About the family: Transfer RNA (tRNA) molecules are approximately 80 nucleotides in length.
Source: RNAcentral